Penaeus monodon (black tiger shrimp) is the source of this 437-nucleotide long non-coding RNA. RefSeq lists it as uncharacterized. The record is from RefSeq and is a predicted model, not a curated record. Lineage: Eukaryota; Metazoa; Arthropoda; Malacostraca; Decapoda; Penaeidae. The transcript has 2 exons.
GAUCCAGCCCUCAACGCCCUCCACACCACGCCCGCCCCCUGGGUCGUGCCCACUCCAGGGGCCGCCCCCGUCGGACCUCCAACCAUGCCUCCUGCAGUAGCAAAUCUGAUCGCCAAGUACAAGGCCGUAGUCGCAGCCUUCAUCCCUUCCACUGCAGCGCCUGCCUGAGCUGAUGCCUUCUCCGUGUGACUGUCACGGGGCAGUUUACAAAAGUCACCUAAUUUUGUUAACGGCCGUUUUUGUCUAGAGUUUGAUUCGCCGCCAAAGGGGAAAAAAAUACUUUUCUUCCUAGUCUCUCAUGUUAUGCAGCAUAAUCAUUACGGCUGAAUAAAGAAAAUCAUCCGAAAUUCAACCUUUUCCUUUUCCAUAAAAUGAAAAAUCGCUUUUUUCAUUUAAAUCAUUAGUCGUAUUUGCUGUAAUAAACUCUGAGACUUAAA